RNAcentral lists this long non-coding RNA (6631 nucleotides) under Lactuca sativa (garden lettuce). RNAcentral describes it as "long non-coding RNA (LSAT_LNC000429)". Lineage: Eukaryota; Viridiplantae; Streptophyta; Magnoliopsida; Asterales; Asteraceae. The record is from RNAcentral.
AAUGAUCGGAACAUUUCUAGAAUCAACCAUAUCGGGUUACGGCAAAUUGGCCGGGUGCGACCAAAAGCCCCGUCUAACGCCGGUAUCGGAUAGAAUUCUACCGUGUCCCGAACAUGGACACUAUUUAAAGUGAUCCAAGUCUUCAUUUUGAAGCUUUUGCUCCAUUUUACAAUUAUCACUCCAACCUCUCUCCUCAAACUAGAUUUAAGGGUCAAAAUCUCAAGUUUAAGGCUUCAAAUCACCAAGGUACCUUCCCUAAUUCGUUAUGCAACCUCUCUAGCCUUCAAAUUCGAGUUUAAACCAUGGAUUAGGACCAUUACCAUGAGUUUACAGCCCUAGAACAGUCCUAGGCCGUAAACUCAUAUAAAGGGGGGUUUUUGGAGCAACAAAACCCUUCCAAACCUCAAUUGGACCUUGAAUAUGGCUAGAUGACUUUAUGAGAUGGAAUUAGAAUGCCUCAAACCAUGAUUUAGAGCCUUAUAUAUGAGUUUAUGGCCCAGGAUGGUGCCAAGGCCGUAAACCCAUAUUUAAAGGGGUUUUAAGCCAUUUAACCCUUCUAAGACACAAACAAGACUUAGAUAUGAUUUUUAGAAUAUUGGAAAUGGACCUAGAACACUUCAAACAUGAAUUUUGAGAGGUUUGUAUGAUUUUACGGCCAAGGCAUGUGCUUGGGCUGUAAACUCCUCAAACAUGGGUAUAAAUUCACUUCUAAGGUGUUAGAAAGCCAUCCAACACCACCAAAAGUCUUUGAAUAAAUCAUAAGAUCAACCAAAAAUAGUUUAAGGGCUUUAAGCAUAACAAAACCUCACAUAUGAGAGUUUAUGUCCAUAGAACAUGCUCCAUGGUCGUAAACUCCUAAAAGGAUGUCAAAUGGUGCCCAAAAUUCAUUUCUAGGCUUGUAGGAAUUUUUAGAAUCACAUGUGAUUAAUUUUGGGACCUUAAAAACACUUAUUCAAGAAGAUAUUAGAUUUUACGGCCAUAGACCCCAUGCCAAGGCCGUAAACUCCCUUAAGUGUUGUAUUUGGUGAUUAUAAUUCAUUCCAAGCCUUAGGUAAAAUUAUUCCAAGCAUUUCUAUGUGAUAAUAGCCAUUUGUGACACAUUAAGCUCCAUAAAUCCUACCAACAUGAGUUCACGGCCAUGAACUCAUGUGUGGGUAGUUUUUAGGCCGUAAACUCAUCUAGGAAGUUUACUCUUGGGGAGUAAACUCAAAUCCCAAGUCCCUCGCUUCAAUUCCCGUCCGUAGAUGUCACUCGGGUCACUCCAAACACCUGUUUUGAGGUGUUUUCGUUCGUUGGAGUGUGAUUUCAUAUCUAAUUAGAGUUUAUGAAUCUAAUUAGAUAUAUUUGUAUGCCAUUUCAUAUUACAUAGGAACCUCGCGUGUUAUCAGGCCUUGAUUCGACGUUUAGCAUCCGAAAUCGACACAUUUCCGCGUCCGGUGAGUUCAUACCCCUACUCUUUUUCAAUGGUUUUUCAAUGUUUUCAGGGGGGAAUACAAGCAAAAGUACAAGAAUAUCNUUUUUUUCAUUUUUUUGGGGGGGGGGGGGGGAAUACAAGCAAAAGUACAAGAAUAUCUUGUACUUAAACUCAUGAUUUCAGUUAAAUGGUUUCAUAAUUGUAGAUUUUAAGAAUUGAAAACCUUUUAACAAGCUGUUUUAACUUGUAAAGUUGUUUGUUUUAAACCGAGUUUCAAUUCUUAUUAUACACUGUUAUAUUGUAUACUUUACAUAUGAUGGUUCACAUUAUAUUGAUAGAACACAUAAAAUAUCAUAAUGUCUGUAAUAAAACAUUUAGAUUCUAGAGUAAAAGACAGACACCAUCAGAAAAUAUAAAAUAUCUGUAUGUCCUUAAUAAUACACCUAGGAUCGAGUGUAAAGGAUAGUCAUCAUUAGAUAACACCUAGGCUCGAUUGUAAUGUCCUUAACGAAACACCUAGGCUCGAGUGUAAAGGAUAGGUUCGUAGAACAUAGUUAGUCGUAAAUACUACUUUCCUAGUCGAAAAGUAAAGAGUAAUCUUAAAGAUUGGAGACACAUCCUUGUAACACUUCCUUGGCACGAGAUAGUGGAGGACUAACCCUAUAACCAGAAUCUCUGAACGUAGGAGAGCGUGGCUUGAGUGUAUAGAUCUAUACGGGACUGACAAUUCCACACCUGGCUGCUAGCUACAGCCGAACCGAAAGGUUCAAGGGUGACAAAAGUCAUAAAAAGGAUACUGACCAUGGUCCGAGUCAUAUCCAGUCUGAGUAUGGUUAAGGACUCGCAAUCUAGAUUAAUAACGCUUUAGACUCAUUUAAUAGCUUUAUGUACGUAGUAAAGCUAAUGUAUAUUCAAGGAUGUCAGGCACAAACAAACCACAGUCAGGGAAACAUGGGGUUUUCCUGGGGAGAACACUGAACAUAACCAGAACCGGUAAAGAUACACACAAACCACAGUCAGGGAAACAGGGGGUUUUCCUAGGAAGAACAUCGAACAUAUUCAGAAUUGAUAAUAGUUCACACACACAGUCAGGAGAACAUGGGGUUCUUCCUGAGUAACAGUAGUACGUAACUAGAAAAGUGUAAUAAGUUAAACAACUGAACUACAAUUCACAAGAACAAGCAUGUUUUCAUUGUACGUCGUUUACUUUACUUUUGGAUUUGGAAACUAACUUUACAUAAGAAAAUAUGGGAUUUUCUUGGAUAACCACUUUUCAGGAAACCAAAGGAACUCGUACAUUUUUAGAAAAACUAACCGCUUAUGAACUCACCAGCUUUAUGCUGAUUUUCAAACCGCUUGUAUUCUCAGGUACGUGUUAGACAGGUACCCAAAGAUCCUUUUGUGUGAAGACGGAGUUCUUAGAAGACUCGUUUUGUACUGUUCAUAUAUACUAUGUAUCACAUGUAUAACUUUUUCUUAUGAAAUAAAUGUAAAACUUUCAUAUAUGUAAUGUAAUGGUUGAUUUACUUUACUUACUAUGUACAUUGGAUUUGAUACUCAACGUGGAGUCAACCCCAGAAAUGUUUCCGCCUUCGGUUUUCGGGGUGUGACAGAUUGGUAUCAGAGCCCUUGUUUAUAGUGAAUGAAGUAUACCAAACCUUACAUGGUAUAAAACUUUAAACAUUAAGGGGCCUAAGUGCUCUUAACUAAAAGUAUCCUUCAAAAUAUAAGUAUUUUCAAAAGUAUAUAAGUAUACCAACCCGUCGAGAUCCAUAACUACAAGUAGAACAAAACAUAAGUAAAUGAGUGUUGUACAUUGCGAUUAAACCUGGGCAGUUAUGUAGUCGUGUCUAGGAUCAAUAUAGCCUGGCCAACUAUAUUUAUUCGAGACACGGCCAACAUGUGCUUGGGAGUGACUGUGGUGUGUGGCAUGCCUAAAACUUACCCUUAAUACCACAAACAUCGAGCCAGCAUCGUAACGAAUCGUGAAAUACUAUGGGAGUAUUUCUCGAGUCAAUCCUUUGUAGAAAUCCUCGUUCAUGCAUUGUUCUUUGAUCAAUCUCUUAACGAUAAUUUUCUUGUCUUGAUAACUCUACCCUGCUUUAUCGCUUAUUCAGCAUAUAUCUGUCAUAUCUCUUGAUUCAAUUCAGAGGACUUAUCAUCCUCUCUUUCUUGAUCUUAUUAGAUCAAGAUGCCUCCAAGAAAGAGACCCAGCUCCAAGACCAACAACCCUCCGCCACCACCUCCUCCCCAAAUUGAUCCUGUAGUAUUCCAGGCAGCUGUUACAGCCGUAGUGACAGUUGCCAUGUCUCAACGGAACUCUGGCGGUUCUGGUAGUUCGGGAGGUGGUACCCAAACCCAAAACCAUGAAAGUAGUCAGGGACGCUGGAAAGAGGGUUCCUAUAAUGAUUUCAUGAACGCAAAACCCCCGUCCUUUGAUGGGACUGGAGGUGUCAUUUCCCUCAUCCGAUGGUUCGAGAAGAUCGAAUCCAUCUUUGAAAUUUGCACCUGUUUAGAUUCAGAUAAGGUAAAGUUUGCCGCCUGCACCUUUAUCGACAAAGCCUUGACUUGGUGGAAUGGCCGAGUCAAAUCCCUAACCUUACCUGUAGCCAACGCCAUGGGUUGGGAAGCCAUGAAGGAACUUCUGCUGGCUGAGUACUGCCAUCGGGGCGAAAUGUAGAAGUUAGAGCAUGAACUUUGGAACAUGACGAUGAAAGGUUCCGACAUCACUGCUUAUACUUCUAGGUUCGACGACUUGGCAUUACUCUGCCCGGGAAUGGUUACUCCGGAGAGUAAGAAGAUAGAGAGAUUCAUCUGUAGGCUGACCCAGCCAACUAAAGGAAACGUCAUAGCCGCGAGGCCGGAUACAUAUGACAGCGCCAAAUGCUUAGCACAGAUCCUAAUUGAUCAUAGCGAAGACCUUGAGGAGGCAACUACCACUCCUGAGCCGACAGUGAGGAGUGGGGAGAAAAGAAAAUUUGGGAAGAAAGAGAAAAGUCAAACAUCGCACGAGUCUUCAAAGAGACAACAAACGGUGGCAGUUCACGCUGCUACUUCCCCUACGACUGUUUCUAUUACUAGACCCUCAACUCGGAAACCUACCAGUAGGUAUACUGGAACUCUUCCUAGUUGUGACAAGUGCAACUAUCAUCAUCUUCCUUCCGGUCCAUGUAUCGAGAUAAUUUGCAACAAAUGUGGCAUAAAGGGUCACAUGGUGAAAAACUGUAAGACACCAACUCAAUCAACAAGUCAAACUUCCGGAGCGGGCAUUGGUCGGGCCUGCUAUGGUUGUGGAGAAGUGGGGCAUUUCAAGCGAAACUGUCCCAAGGCUGUAACACCUAGCAACACCGGAAGAGUUCUAGCGAUAGGACAAGAGGAGACAACCACCGAUCCCACUGUUGCCAUAGGUAUAUUUCCCCUCGUUAAAUUUAUAUGCAUGUGAUUCUUUUCGAUUCUAGCACCGAAAGAAAUUCGUUAAUCAUCCAUUUGAACAUUUUCUAACCCUUGUCGUUUGCGAGUAACCGAAAAUGUAUACCUUUGAGAUGGUUAUCACGUGAGAACGAGAAUGCUUGUGUCGUAUCCGUAGAUUGUAUUCUUAAUCCAAACAAUUAUUCUUUUCCAUUCGGCCUAUUGGCAAACUUUUUAUGAAAUGCUUUGAUGUCACCCUUAGCAUGUAAUGACCGAGCCUCAUUCAUGUUGUCUUUCCUAGUUUCGAGAAAGCCAUUCGUUCUAACCUUCCUCCGACUUGACUCUCAUGAUCUUAAUACAUCAAAGUUUAAAAAGUCUUCCCAUGUAUUUCUCGUCCGAGUGAUCAUCGAGAAACGAAAAGUCUACGAUCCUUCCCGAUGCUGUUUCUAAAGAAUUCUUAAGAAUUCUUUCCGAACGCGUAGUCCAGUCUCGCAUCGACCUAAUCCCGUGAAUUUCCUCGUAGCUAAACCUCAGUAUGCACGAUGUGUGCAAGUCAGCAAUCAGGGCAUGAUACGAUCAUUACGAGGUAGUAGUGGCGCCCUUCGGUCGAACCAUUUUCUUGGUCAUGUAGAUAAUCAAAGCAGUCAUACUCGUAAACCUUUCCAAAAGCUAAGGCAAUAAAAAAUUAGUCGACACCGGGAACACCCAUGGAAACCUGUCGAUUCUUGGGUUCCGUCGGCUAUGAUCGUAGACUUACCGGAACCUUAGUUACUCUGCCAUGUGAAAGUGUACCCACUUGUUGGAGGUCUUAUCCUGGAAAGACAUAGUAUGCCUUGGGAAGUGCGGAAAACUUAACUUGUGGAACCUUAGACCCUUCGAGAUUUUCGUUAGGAAUCGAUUCCAUAGCCCUCUCCGAGCUAUCUUCAGGACUCAGUAGCAACCAUCUGGUGUUCCGCAUCUUUAUUCGUAAGGCUUGCCGACCUGACGAAACCCUAGUAAAUUCCUUUGAGGAAAUGAAAACCAAUGAAAAUCCGAACCUUCGUGUUUGAAUCAAUUGAGAUCGUGGAUUGAGAGGUUAACCACACAUAACAAAGCCACAUCCUGACAGUGAGGGUUCGCUAGAAUGUUAAGCGGAGACCCGAAGCAGUAAAUUCAUCCCCAUAUCUCUUUUCAUUUCGUGAUAUGUGUUCGAAUCUUUGAAUUUCAGGACGAAAUUCCCUCUAACGGGGGGAUAAUGUAACAACCCAAAAUUCAUAUCCCUAAUUGAAACCCUUUUUACGACUCGUUCCGAUCAUCUAAUCGCCGUUUCCGAUUUCUUUUCCGUUUCCGAUUUCUUUUCCGUUUCCGACCUUUUAUUAAGUCGUUAAUGUGAAUUUUAUUUUAUGACUUAAUAAGUGUCUUAAUACCCUUAGAACUCAUUCUAACGUCUCAUAUUAAUGAUCAGAACAUUUCUAGAAUCAACCAUAUCGGGUUACGACAAAUUGGCCGGGUGCGACCAAAAGCCUCGUCUAACGCCGGUAUCGGAUAGAAUUCUACCGUGUCCAGAACAUGGACACUAUUUAAAGUGAUCCAAGUCUUCAUUUUGAAGCUUUUGCUCCAUUUUACAAUUAUCACUCCAACCUCUCUCCUCAAACUAGAUUUAAGGGUCAAAAUCUCAAGUUUAAGGCUUCAAAUCACCAAGGUACCUUCCCUAAUUCGUUAUGCAACCUCUCUAGCCUUCAAAUUCGAGUUUAAACCAUGGAUUAGGACCAUUACCAUGAGUUUACAGCCCUAGAACAGUCCUAGGCCGUAAACUCAUAUAAAGGGGGG